This 88-nucleotide transfer RNA is filed under the name Fimbriimonas ginsengisoli. Its description in RNAcentral is "tRNA-Ser". It matches the Rfam family "tRNA". From Rfam's summary of the family: Transfer RNA (tRNA) molecules are approximately 80 nucleotides in length. Their secondary structure includes four short double-helical elements and three loops (D, anti-codon, and T loops). Lineage: Bacteria; Bacillati; Armatimonadota; Fimbriimonadia; Fimbriimonadales; Fimbriimonadaceae. The record is from RNAcentral. RNAcentral also lists the same sequence under 4 other names.
GGAGAGGUCGCAUAGUGGUCUAGUGCGCCGCACUCGAAAUGCGGUGAGGCGCAAGUCUCCGUGGGUUCGAAUCCCACCCUCUCCGCCA